CUGGGCCCAAGCCAUUGGGAGUCUCGAUGGGCACCAGCAGGUGGCCUGUGGAGGCAUUCACAAGCACGGAGAGGCUGGCUUUUCCAUCGCUGAGCACAGGCUGGACCACCUCUGGGGCAUUAUCAUUGGCAUCCAAGAGGCUGACCCACACAGAGACACUGGAUGCAAGCAUGGGUUGCCCGCUGUCCUCUGCGAUCACCUGGAACUCAAAGCCGGCCAUCUCUUCAUAGUUCAGUGACCUCUGAGCAGUGACCUCUCCUGUGUUGGAGUCAAUAGCUACUAAGUGAGCAACUGGGGAGUCCUGGAUGCGGUAUGAG
Molecule: long non-coding RNA, 317 nt
Filed under: Homo sapiens (human)
Lineage: Eukaryota; Metazoa; Chordata; Mammalia; Primates; Hominidae
Description: LHRI_LNC1096.1
Source: RNAcentral